Oncorhynchus keta (chum salmon) is the source of this 2141-nucleotide long non-coding RNA. RefSeq lists it as uncharacterized. Lineage: Eukaryota; Metazoa; Chordata; Actinopteri; Salmoniformes; Salmonidae. The record is from RefSeq and is a predicted model, not a curated record. The transcript has 3 exons.
AUUGUCUAAAGUCUUAACAAAAAAGACUAGAAUGCUUUAUAAGCAACCGGGUUCACCCUGAUCAGGUUGGCUUUUUCCAACACUGGUAUGGCACUGAUAGCAAACACAUAAAAGUAUAUAAAAUGGGCUAUGAGGACCUGCCAAACCCCUGCCAUAGCUCUGUCCCUGAAUGCUGAGAAUGCAUUUGAUAGGGUGGAGUGGGGUUUCCUAUUUAAAGCCCUGGAGACCGAUGGAUUUAGCCCCCACUUUAUAUGAUGGAUCAAAACCCUGUAUUCCGGGGGCCAGUGCCACAGUUACCGCCAAUGGAACUAUUUCUAAGCAAUUCAGUCUCCAUACAGCCCCACAGUGCAGGUGUCAUAAUACCCAUAAAACCUAGCGGUCAAACAGGGAAAUGGUUCCAAUCGUUUUUCCACCAUCUAUCAAAUAAAACUCCUGGAGUCUAUAGAGUGAACCUUGGAGUAAUAUCAUGACUCCAGGCCGUGAAGAGAAUAUGGAAAAUAGACUUGGCCUGCGAUAUCACCAAGGCAGAAUGGAAUGAGGUUUUCGGCAGAUGUCUCUAAAGCUAACGCAAUCGAAAACGAUACACCUUUACCAUUUGACUCCUAGUAAGCUUCACAGGGUCGGUCUGAAGCCCACAGACGCCUGCUGCUGGAGAUGUUCAUCUGAAGAGGGGACUUAUCUACAUAUGGAGGUUGUCAAAGAUAACUGGUGGAGUUUACCAGCAAGGAGAGCCUCACUUCACUUCAUGAAAUGACCAUCAUCCCCAGCAUCGACUAUGAAGCUACAGUGCCUUUCGAGUCCAGAUUGCUGUCCCUCAAAAAAACCGGGUCCUGUAGACCUGUCUAACCGCCAGUCAGUGCCAACCAUCCCCAUCAACGACCUCAUACAGAAACUGUCCAAAGAGGACAGUACCAACAAAUCACCUCCCUUACAGAGACAUACCAGCUAACAGAAGAGAAUGUCUGCGCUUCCUGGUCUGCUCGCUGCUGAACGACAUAGCUGCUGCAUAUUUCCCAGAAUGCAACAUUCUGCCCUCCUCCAUGAACGGCUUCCGGAAGCUGGGCUGUGAACUAGACAUGUUUCACGACCUGGAUGACAUCAAUGGAAGGAAUCUUAAGGUGCGGAUGGGGAUGGAGGAACCACAUCAGGGUCAUGUUCAGUAGGGCACAACGUAGCAAAAGGUCUUGCAACGGAAAACAAAAACAGUUUUGUUAUUGAAAUAAGUCCAGGUAGGAAUCUAAAGGAGAAGGACAUUUUAACCCUUUAUAAAAGGGGUGGGCAACAUUGAUGGGGGUGGUGGCCACAGAAAAUCUGAACUCAUCAUGAGGGGCCACAGUUAGAGCCAGCCCUAGUCUUUUGGGGGCCGUAAGUGAAGCAAAACAUUUUAGCGGCCCCUCUCUUGACGGAGAGAGUUUUUAAGUUAAUCUCCUACAAUUCUUGGUCACUGAUAAGUGCCUAAAUUGGAACUUACUGGCUAUACUGUAACAUACUGUGUAUAUAUAACGUCCCUUUAUAGCGCUGUAUGGGAUUCAACUGACAGCCGUUCGAAACGUGUGUUCCAUGCACAACAAAAAUAUGCUACUUUUGGAAAUAUUUUGUUGUCUGAGUGAGGAUGAGACAUGAAGGAUGAGACUGUCAUUUAACAAUAUCAACAAUUAUGAUCGCUAUGUUUGAUGUACAGUUACAAGGAUGACACGCAUCUGUGUGAAGAGCCUUGUGAAAGCCUAACACUGUAAAAUUGUUUUUUAUAAAGUAGCUGGUAAUACAACAAGCUUUCAAAUGAUGCUCAUCUGAUCCAGAUUUCCAUUUUAUAAUGGAGAGUUUUUGGAUUGCAUAAACAAACAACAGUAAUUUUGUGAUGGUGUGGCAGGGAUGUGUUCCAAACAAAAAACGACAAGUGUGCUUGCUUCAGUUCCUCACAUGCAAAGCACCUUAUUGUUGAAGGCUCUUUCCUGGAGUCAUAAACGUGUAUGGAAAUGACUUAGGAACUGUGCAAGUUUUGGAGAGGCGUGUGGCCACUUGGAGACACCUGUUAGACCUCUCAUUCAAACCCUUGUAAUAUUUUUUUCUUAUGUUACACCUACCCCAAAAUUACCAUGAAUAUUCUUAUUAUAUUACUGAAUAAAUCCAGAGUAUUUUCA